CCUACGGGUGGCAGCAGUGAGGAAUAUUGGUCAAUGGGCGCGAGCCUGAACCAGCGAAGUCGCGUGAGGGAAGACGGUCCUAUGGAUUGUAAACCUCUUUUGUCGGGGAGCAAAAGACGCCACGCGUGGCGUUCCGAGAGUACCCGAAGAAAAAGCAUCGGCUAACUCCGUGCCAGCAGCCGCGGUAAUACGGAGGAUGCGAGCGUUAUCGGGAUUUCUGGGGUUUAAAGGGUGCGCAGGCGGAAGAUCAAGGCAGCGGUAAAAUUGAGAGGCUCAACCUCUUCGAGCCGUUGAAACUGGUUGUCUUGAGUGAGUGAGAAGUAUGCGGAAUGCGUGGUGUAGCGGUGAAAUGCAUAGAUAUCAUGCAGAACUCCGAUUGCGAAGGCAGCAUACCGGCGCUCAACUGACGCUCAUGCACGAAAGUGUGGGUAUCGAACAGGAUUAGAUACCCGGGUAGUC
This 459-nucleotide ribosomal RNA is filed under the name uncultured bacterium. RNAcentral's name for it is "partial 16S ribosomal RNA". It matches the Rfam family "Bacterial small subunit ribosomal RNA", at positions 338 to 795 of the family's 1533-position model. The record is from RNAcentral.